AAUUUUCUGACAACCAUUUCACAUUGCGCUAUUAGGUGUUCAAACAGUAGUUUGAACACCUAAUAGUGCAAUGUGAAAUGGUUGUCAGAAAAUU
Molecule: microRNA precursor, 94 nt
Filed under: Homo sapiens (human)
Lineage: Eukaryota; Metazoa; Chordata; Mammalia; Primates; Hominidae
Description: mir-130 microRNA precursor family
Source: Rfam by way of RNAcentral